This 468-nucleotide ribosomal RNA is filed under the name uncultured bacterium. RNAcentral describes it as "partial 16S ribosomal RNA". It matches the Rfam family "Bacterial small subunit ribosomal RNA", at positions 28 to 507 of the family's 1533-position model. The record is from RNAcentral.
GACGAACGCUGGCGGCGUGCUUAACACAUGCAAGUCGAACGGAAAGGCCCUGCUUUUGUGGGGUGCUCGAGUGGCGAACGGGUGAGUAACACGUGAGUAACCUGCCCUUGACUUUGGGAUAACUUCAGGAAACUGGGGCUAAUACCGGAUAGGAGCUCCUGCUGCAUGGUGGGGGUUGGAAAGUUUCGGCGGUUGGGGAUGGACUCGCGGCUUUUCAGCUUGUUGGUGGGGUAGUGGCUUACCAAGGCUUUGACGGGUAGCCGGCCUGAGAGGGUGACCGGCCACAUUGGGACUGAGAUACGGCCCAGACUCCUACGGGAGGCAGCAGUGGGGAAUAUUGCACAAUGGGCGGAAGCCUGAUGCAGCAACGCCGCGUGCGGGAUGACGGCCUUCGGGCUGUAAACCGCUUUCGCCUGUGACGAAGCGUGAGUGACGGUAAUGGGUAAAGAAGCACCGGCUAACUACGUG